This 605-nucleotide ribosomal RNA is filed under the name uncultured bacterium. RNAcentral describes it as "bacterial SSU rRNA". It matches the Rfam family "Bacterial small subunit ribosomal RNA", at positions 888 to 1498 of the family's 1533-position model. The record is from RNAcentral.
GCAAGAUUAAAACUCAUAGGAAUAGACGGGGACCCGCACAAGUGGUGGAGCAUGUGGUUUAAUUCGAAGAUACGCGAAGAACCUUACCUAGCCUUGACAUUGAUAGAAUCUUCCAGAGAUGGAGGAGUGCCUUUAGGGGAACUUGAAAACAGGUGCUGCACGGCUGUCGUCAGCUCGUGUCGUGAGAUGUUGGGUUAAGUCCCGCAACGAGCGCAACCCUCGUCACUAGUUACUAACAGUUAGGCUGAGGACUCUAGUGAGACUGCCUUCGUAAGGAGGAGGAAGGUGAGGACGACGUCAAGUCAUCAUGGCCCUUACGGCUAGGGCAACACACGUGCUACAAUGGUUAGGACAGUGAGAAGCGAUACCGCGAGGUGGAGCCAAUCUAUAAACCUAAUCUCAGUUCGGAUUGUAGUCUGCAACUCGACUACAUGAAGCUGGAAUCACUAGUAAUCGUAGAUCAGCUAUGCUACGGUGAAUACGUUCCCGGGUCUUGUACUCACCGCCCGUCACACCAUGGGAGUUGAUUUCACCCGAAGCGGGGAAGCUAAACUGGCUACCCUCCACGGUGGAAUUAGCGACUGGGGUGAAGUCGUAACAAGGUA